AUGAGCACUAUAUGUCCCAUUUAAACGGUCCAAUAAGUCUCUCCCUGCAAACAUCUGUAUUACCCAGAGGUUAUCUUGCUUUCCUAUAGUGACCACUGAAGGUACCACAUCUAUGAGUUCUUACAUUCUGUCCCAUGUGAAAUAUAAUAUAGAAAAAGCCUUGACACUCAUAUAACAUCUGAGAAUGAUGAUUUCAUGGCUAUAGUUUACAGGGAUUUAAACUUGACUAGCCCUCAUGGAACAUGACAUUUUUCCAGCCCUUAAAAGUUUCCUCCCAAAACACCGUAGUGGGCCGACAUAUCAAUACUCUCAGUAGCAGUUCUUCAGGCCUGCUGUGUGCGUUACCUGCUCGAUGGUGUGCCUUUUGUCUGUAUGAUAAAGACUUCAUGGUUGUGACAUUUAUUACGGCCUGUCACAGGGAAGCUCGCGGGGCCUUUUUACUGUCAAGCCUCGGCAACGUGGGGUUUAUAUCCAAACGGCCUUGUGUAUCAGGAGACCUGGAACAUCAAACUAGUGUCACUCAAACAUCCCUCUGGUUUCUGUACAUGUAUUUUAUGUUAGUGUUUUUUAAAAUUUAUUUUCCUGGAAAGAAGCCUCACAGAUAAGCAGUACGUUCCCCCGACACACCCUACGACCACCCAAUCUCACCUCAUCUCAUGGCACCGUGAUGUUUUCAGUUUAGAGGCACUUUGGAUCUCACGCCAGCGUCGUUUCAUGACCUCAGCGCAGUUAAUGCCUUUAACUGACAGCAGAUUACUCUGUUUACAACUUCCUCUGGGUCAAAGGUGAACACAGAGGUCAAACAGAGGUCACACCGCCGUUCCCAAAGCUACGUACCGAGCCAUACAGCUACAUCGGGAGAUUCCUUCAAAUAGCACAUUUUGAAAAACGGCCAGUGCGUGUCAUGAGAUCACAGCGUCUCCGAAUCUUAGAGGGGAUUAUCAUCUGACGAUAUCUCUGCUUUCUUUAAUUCCCCUGCUCGGGGUGAAUUGCUUGACCUGUGAUGGAGGAGGACUGUGCUGUCAGUGAUGCCCGUGUGCACAGCGGAGGGAAUGAUAGAGGAAUGGGUUGAAGGGAUCAGAGAAAUGAGUGGUAGGUGAUGGGUUGAGAGUCUGAUUUAGGAAUCUUUACCCUUCUUUUCAGGUAUAGAAUUGACUACAGAACUCCAUAUAUGGAAGCUUCAACCGCGUCUUUCAUAUACAGAUUAAAUUAUGUCCAUACAUUAACAACAUUAUUUUGCUAUACGUCAUUUAUUAAUACUCAAAAGGAAAUCUAUCUCUACCUAACUAUCUCUCUUUAUCAAGGGAAAGUGUGCACACCCUUUACAUUGCUGUAGGGAUUGAUGGCUAUAAGUAGAAACUUGUUUUGUGUUUCAUUCAGCUGUAUUACUUUGGAUUGGAGGAGUAUAAUAUACAAGCUAAUAAAAUGGAGUGAUUGGUGCCCCAUAGGGAUAUGAAACAGUUGGGGCUAUUACAGAACCCAUUCCAGAAUAUAGCUGUGUAACAUUCUUGUUCAGGUAAACAUAUGUAUGAUAACUCACAGACAUGCUCUGAUGAUGACAUUGUGUAUGAUAAGUAGCCUGUAACAGAACAACCUCAUUGCCAGUCAAGAUCUUGGGUGAGUCACAGGUUCAAGCCUGACUUUGAGACCUAUGAAUUAUGUAAAAAAAAAAAAGAAAAAGAUUCAAGACGCACCUAGUCAUGAACGAGCAGAGUAAUGAAGUUCAGAUGUUAGACUAAAGCCCCACUUCUUGUACCUCCUCAAGGCUGUGGGAGAAAACAGAGACAGAAGCCUGAGUGGAGAACAAAGUGUUUCGGUUUGAUGCCCGUAAAUUCCCUGUUGAAAGAGAAAGCAUGCAGAAGUUCAGCUCAGUCAGAGCGAGGCUGUGCACGGAGAUAAGACGCUGUACUAGCAGGUGAUCCUCUCAGCAUGCAAAGUGUUGAUGUUGUCUUCAUCCAGGAUCUUGGUGGCAGAGGGAGUCAGUGAAAUACUGUACAUUGGAAAAAGGGAGAUGUGGCCAAGACGGAGUCAUCAGAGGUCCCUAAAAUAGAGUGCAGUCUGAGAAUGAAGCAGAGAAAGGUGAACGCCGCUGGUUGGUGUGCUUCACUUAAGCCGAUUCUGCUUCAGUGCCCCCAGAAAAAGCUGAUUCAUUUCAGUGGAAUCCUCACUUUCCUUUGGUGGAUACAGCCUGUUUGGGUUUUCAGAGAUGCUUCAGCUUUGUAAGUUGUGAAGCAUUAUUGUUUUCUUUUAAUAAAUGGUCUUUUGUG
Sebastes umbrosus (honeycomb rockfish) is the source of this 2267-nucleotide long non-coding RNA. RefSeq lists it as uncharacterized. The transcript has 2 exons. The record is from RefSeq and is a predicted model, not a curated record. Lineage: Eukaryota; Metazoa; Chordata; Actinopteri; Perciformes; Sebastidae.